Long non-coding RNA from Sus scrofa (pig), 2262 nucleotides. RefSeq lists it as uncharacterized. NCBI's taxonomy places the organism in Eukaryota, Metazoa, Chordata, Mammalia, Artiodactyla, Suidae. The record is from RefSeq and is a predicted model, not a curated record.
UAAAAGAAAAAAAAAAUGGAAUUUGUCUUCCCUCUGAAAAGACCAUUCACACUUUGGCAUUAGAGAUGUGAAUAGGCCCUCAAGAAAAGAAUGGAUUCCAAUUCAGCAGUAAAAAGAGACCAUUUGCCAAUGGAGGAAAAAUUGUAUGACACUAUAUUAUUUCCAGGAUUGGACUGCCCCAGCAAUUAGAAGUGAGGAAAAACAACUGCCAUUGGUUUGCUUGGAUUUUUUUGCUGUUCAGAGAUAGCAGAACGGAGUAAAGAUAGAAAGAUAAAAACUGAUUCUCUGGGAUCAUCCAAAAAGUAGAGAUACUUUCCCCAGCACACUGGAGGGAGUGAAUGUAGCUGUUUCCUAAUCAGAUCCAUGGGUGUUUAAAUCUGAACAUCUCAGUUAAUCCAGUGACAUUCUUAACAUUAAAGGGUGUUAAAACGUAACAUUAAUAUUUAAUGUUAAGUGCAAGAGAGAGCAUGGCACAAUAAGCUUGAUUUCAUUUUAAACAUAGUAUUUUAAAUUAUUGGAAAAUAGAAGUAAAAUAGUUUUCAAGCCCAAACUAAACUUUUGUAUAGUGUACGUGCAUAUGUUGUAUAUUAGUGAACUUUAAAUUCUUGCUUAAUAGACCUGUUCACUUCUUUCACAUUUAUGUGAAUUAAAAUCUUCCUCUUAAAAUUAUACGCAGCAGGAUAUCAACAUGUAGAAUGAAUUUCAGAUCAUUGCUGGACUGUCUGCAAAGCACACUGGAUCUGUUACAUGACAUGACAGAAAUAAUGAAGACUCUGGGGAAAUGCAUUUUGUUUACACUCUGCUGUGCUCUAAUGCUAUUCUCAUUUAAAGAUUGUGGCAGAUCCUUAAAAAACAAGGGGCCUUAAAAAUAUUUAAGAAAAUUUGUUAAGAUCUCUCAAACCUUUGAAGCAGAAAAAAAUGUUUUUUGAUCUAUGAAUGGAAUGAAGCUUUCUGACUGCAGUUGGGAAGUCAGUAGCCUGAUCCAUUGGUUCUGUGCAUCAGUGUGGCAACAUCAGCAAACAUUGUGUGAGGCAUAUUCUCCAAUGGCUUCUACAAACUGACUCCCUACUCUUCUCUGUCUGCAUUUACCCAAAGAGGCUGACCUCUAUUGACUGAAUCACCCAGGCUCACUAGCCUCAUAAAUAAAAACUGAUAACUUCUUUUUGAUUUGUUUUGAUAAUAAUAUUUUGAUACUGAUAGGCUACAAUGCCCGCUAGAAAUUUAGGACCUAUAUCAUGAUAAUCUGGAUAAAAUUCAAGACACUUUAAUUUAUACUUCUGAUUAAGUUAGGAAUAAAAAAGUGAAACAUUUGAAUUGGUACCUACAAAGUAAAAUAGAAAUUCAGGCACUCUGUUUGGGUGGAACAUGACUUACAUUUGAAGAAAAUACAGAAAUAGGAGACCAGUUCUAUAUUUUUUUUCCUACUUCAAGAAAAUAGUUUAACUAUUCUGUGUUUAUUUUAAAUAAAAGCAAAAAUGCAGAUUACAAGUCCAUAUUUUUUCUUUUAUCCGAACCUCUAUUUCAGAAUAGAAUUGCAAAAAUAAUGCUACCCCACUGUGUAAAGGAAAUGAGAAAUGGAUAGACCAUUAAGGAGGAGUGUGAAUUUAUAUAGUGCAUUAGCAUCAAAGGAUAUAGCAUGGAUAUGCCUUAAAAAUUCAGUUUAAUGACACUUGGAUUUGUAUUGCUGGCUGUCUUAGAUGUUAAAUCCCUGAUGAGGUCAUAAGUGUAACCUAUCUUGCCAAAAACCUCUGAGAUGAUUUUUUUCCUUAUCAGUUUUUCACUUCGUUUAUGCAGUUUAAUUUAUUUAACAAUGAAGAAAUAGUUUACAUUAAACACUCUGAACACAGGAAAAUAAAAUAGCAUAUAAAUUCUUAUCUGUCUAAACCAUAGCAAAGUCAGAUAAAAAUUGCCUAUGUUGUUUGAGAGUGCUAUUUCCACACAUUUUUUUUGUCCAGCACCUAUUAUUACUGAGGAUUAAAGGAAGACAAUAGAAUUCGGUCUCUCUUUUUUUACCCUACCUUAAAAAUAGAAAAGAGUAAAUUGGUGCAGUCAUAAAAUUUUAUACAGAUGCAUACAUAUAUUCAAAUGUAAAUUUUAGGUUUUCUCAGGCUUAAUUAUAAAAACAAUGUUUGUGUUUGAUGCUUUUAGUAUCCAGUUGUCAUGAUUUCAGAAUUGGUGAAAGAUGGUUUUCAAUGGCUUUUGAAAGUAAAUGAUGCCCCAUUGAUGAACAGGUCUGAAUUCAAAUAAAGAAUACUUGUCAGA